Molecule: ribosomal RNA, 496 nt
Filed under: uncultured bacterium
Lineage: Bacteria
Description: bacterial SSU rRNA
Rfam family: Bacterial small subunit ribosomal RNA
Source: RNAcentral
AACAAACGCUGGCGGCGUGCCUAACACAUGCAAGUCGAACGAGAAAGUCGGUUUCGGCCGAUGAGUAAAGUGGCGCACGGGUGAGUAACGCGUGGAAUAAUCUACCCUUUAGUCCGGAAUAACUUGCCGAAAGGUGAACUAAUACCGGAUGACAUCCCGGGUUCUCCGGAAACCGGGAUCAAAGAAGGCCUCUGCUUGCAAGCUUUGCUGAAGGAUGAGUCCGCGUACCAUUAGCUAGUUGGUGGGGUAAUGGCCUACCAAGGUUAUGAUGGUUAGCUGGUCUGAGAGGAUGAUCAGCCACACUGGAACUGAAACACGGUCCAGACUCCUACGGGAGGCAGCAGUGAGGAAUAUUGCGCAAUGGGGGCAACCCUGACGCAGCAACGCCGCGUGAGUGAGGAAGGUUUUCGGAUUGUAAAGCUCUGUCGAGCGGAAAGAAAUGCACGAUGGCUAAUAUCCAUCAUGCUUGACGGUCCGCUAGGGAAGCACCGGCUAA